AAAAUGUAAAUAGCCCUUCAAUGGCCCCAACGGCCCUCCAUUCAAUGGAUGCAGGACCGGUGGGGUCAAAUGAAUGAAGCUACCACAUCUUGUGCACUGUAACGUCUUUGGUGGUUGGGCGGUCUGUUUUCUUUGAAACUUUCCGUUCGUCAGCUUGGAUUUGUCAAAAAUCCUCGCCGUGGACACGCCACCAUGUGUUUUUUCAUACAUCUGUUUUAUGUUGUGUCUGACAUAUUUUUGUAUCAAUAUACAAA
RNAcentral lists this unclassified non-coding RNA (254 nucleotides) under uncultured fungus. RNAcentral's name for it is "sequence contains ITS1". Lineage: Eukaryota; Fungi. The record is from RNAcentral.